Dreissena polymorpha is the source of this 785-nucleotide long non-coding RNA. RefSeq lists it as uncharacterized. NCBI's taxonomy places the organism in Eukaryota, Metazoa, Mollusca, Bivalvia, Myida, Dreissenidae. The record is from RefSeq and is a predicted model, not a curated record. The transcript has 2 exons.
UUGAAUUAUUUUCUAUAUACAUUUUCAUUAUGUGCUUUAACUGUAGCUGACCAGUUGAUGGAAGAUACUGCAGAGUUUGGCAGGGAAAUAACCCAAGACAGCAAAGCGGCUCUUUUGGCGCAUUUACCAAGAGGACUAACAUAACCACAAAUUCAUGAGAUCAUGCAGGAGCCGUACAGUAUAACAGCAGUACAAGUUCUAUAAAAGAUCCACGACCUACUGAAGCCCAGCUAAUUAACAAAAAAGUUUUUAAAAACUGUAAUUUUAUCCCACCUGGGUACUUAUAAUUUACUAAGCUGCCUUCACAAGUUUUAGACUUGCAAUUAUAUUUUAAACUGUCACUUGGAAAGUAAUACAUGUACAUGCAUUAUGUUCUGAAUUUCUUUGAACAAUAAAAUUAUAUAAAAGUAUUUUAAUGAAAUUGAGCACCUAAAUUGCAUUAAAGUGAAAGUAGCUGAGAAAAAUAGUAUCCUGGUGCUCAUGGGCAGCUACAUAUAUUGUGACAAACAUGAAGUAGCUAAAAUAACUUAAAUUUUUCAUUUUGUUUCUUGAAUAUCGUUUGUACAGGGUUCGUGAAUUGUUACUGUAUAUUACUUGACUUGCUUGUAUUUUGUUACUUUGAAUACAUGUUGUUAAGGUUGCAUUAUACUUUUUAACUUUUAAAGUAGCGCCUGUUCUGUUAUGUAAGGGCCUGAUUUACGAUAAUGGACCUAGAGGCUUUGUAAGCAUGUAUUAAACAACACUUGUUUGAUCUGAAUAAUUUGUUAAAUAAAUGUAACACAAUU